CCUACGGGAGGCAGCAGUAGGGAAUUUUCGGCAAUGGGGGGAACCCUGACCGAGCAACGCCGCGUGAACGAAGAAGUUAUUCGUAAUGUAAAGUUCUUUUAACAGGGAAGAAAGAGAAAUUUGACGGUACCUGAAGAAUAAGCCCCGGCUAACUACGUGCCAGCAGCCGCGGUAAUACGUAGGGAGCGAGCGUUAUCCGGAAUCAUUGGGCGAAAAGGGUGCGUGGAUGGCUUAGUAAGUCUUUUGUAAAAAUGCUGGGCUAAACCCAGUAGGGCAAAAGAUACUGCAAAGCUAGAGUAUGACAGAGGCAAGUGGAACUAGAUGUGUAGCGGUAAAAUGCGUAAAUAUAUGUAAGAACACCAGUGGCGAAGGCAGCUUACUGGGUCGAUACUGACAUUGAGGCACGAAAGCGUGGGGAGCAAACAGGAUUAGAUACCCGAGUAGUC
This 446-nucleotide ribosomal RNA is filed under the name uncultured bacterium. RNAcentral's name for it is "partial 16S ribosomal RNA". It matches the Rfam family "Bacterial small subunit ribosomal RNA", at positions 338 to 795 of the family's 1533-position model. The record is from RNAcentral.